RNAcentral lists this ribosomal RNA (468 nucleotides) under uncultured bacterium. Its description in RNAcentral is "partial 16S ribosomal RNA". It matches the Rfam family "Bacterial small subunit ribosomal RNA", at positions 28 to 507 of the family's 1533-position model. The record is from RNAcentral.
GACGAACGCUGGCGGCGUGCUUAACACAUGCAAGUCGAACGGAAAGGCCCUGCUUUUGUGGGGUGCUCGAGUGGCGAACGGGUGAGUAACACGUGAGUAACCUUCCCUUGACUUUGGGAUAACUUCAGGAAACUGGGGCUAAUACCGGAUAGGAGCUCCCGCUGCAUGGUGGGGGUUGGACAGUUUCGGCGGUUGGGGAUGGACUCGCGGCUUAUCAGCUUGUUGGUGGGGUAGUGGCUUACCAAGGCUUUGACGGGUAGCCGGCCUGAGAGGGUGACCGGCCACAUUGGGACUGAGAUACGGCCCAGACUGCUACGGGAGGCAGAAGUGGGGAAUAUUGAACAAUGGGCGGAAGCCUGAUGCAGCAACGCCGCGUGCGGGAUGACGGCCUUCGGGUUGUAAACCGCUUUCGCCUGUGACGAAGCGUGAGUGACGGUAAUGGGUAAAGAAGCACCGGCUAACUACGUG